RNAcentral lists this ribosomal RNA (443 nucleotides) under uncultured bacterium. RNAcentral's name for it is "partial 16S ribosomal RNA". It matches the Rfam family "Bacterial small subunit ribosomal RNA", at positions 338 to 795 of the family's 1533-position model. The record is from RNAcentral.
CCUACGGGAGGCAGCAGUGGGGAAUAUUGGGCAAUGGAGGAAACUCUGACCCAGCAACGCCGCGUGAAUGAUGAAGGUCUUCGGAUUGUAAAGUUCUUUUCUAAGGGAAGAAGAAAGUGACGGUACCUUAGGAAUAAGCCUCGGCUAACUACGUGCCAGCAGCCGCGGUAAUACGUAGGAGGCAAGCGUUAUCCGGAAUGACUGGGCGUAAAGGGUGCGUAGGUGGUUUGACAAGUUGGGAGCGUAACUCCGAGGCUUAACCUCGGCACUGCUACCGAAACUGUUGGACUCGAGUGCAGGAGGGGCAAAUGGAAUGCCUAGUGUAGCGGUGGAAUGCGUAGAUAUUAGGAAGAACACCAGUGGCGAAGGCGAUUUGCUGGACUGUAACUGACACUGAGGCACGAAAGCGUGGGGAGCAAACAGGAUUAGAUACCCCUGUAGUC